CCAAAGAACGUUUGGGAAAAUCUUGGUAGU
This 30-nucleotide non-coding RNA is filed under the name Rattus norvegicus (Norway rat). Lineage: Eukaryota; Metazoa; Chordata; Mammalia; Rodentia; Muridae. The record is from RNAcentral.